CAAAAGGAACAUGCCUCACAGGGUAGCAGGUCGAGGCCAGAGCAGCCAUCUUGGUCCAAGGUCAGCGCCUUCCAAGGUCAGCUCCUGAAUACUAGUAAGGGAACUCAGCUGCCUCAUUCCUCACUGCCCAGCCUGUGUUCAUUCCCAGAGACAUCUGAGUCACAGGAGGAUUGUCCAGGAAUCUUGUGGUGUCUUAAAUACCUCUUGAAUCUUACCAUUUCUCUCCAUUCUCACUGCAUCCUCUUUUCCCUUCCCCUGCAUCCUGUUCCAGCUAUCAUCAUUCCUAUCUGGACUAUCACAAUAGCUUAGUAACUGUUCACUUCACACCUACUCUUGCUCUCUUCCAUCCAUCCUUUGCCCAGCAGAGACCAAAGUCUUCCCAUUGAACUUAGACUAAGAUUCAAUCUCCUGGCCCCAGGCUACAGGGUUGUGCAGGAUCUAGCUUCCUCUCCAACUUCAACACCAACUGCUCUCUUCUGUGUCCACUCCACUCUUGCCCCACCAGGCUUCUUUGCUCAUUCACGCCUCAAAACCCAAAUACCAUUGCAUCAUGCUCUCCUUUCAGGCCCCUCAAUCCUUGCAAAUCUUCUCUGGCAUCCCAUUGUUCUGAGGGUAAGAAUCCCAACAAGGCUUCUGAGUCUGCCGCAGCCUGGUUUCUACCCAGCACUCUAGCAUCAUCUCCCACAAUCUCCCACAUCUGUGGUCUAGCUGCUGCGUCCUUUCUGCUUCUCAUGCAUGCAGGGCCCUCCUCAUCAUAGGGCCUUUGCUCAUGCUGUUGUCUUCACGCUAGAAGCUCUUCCCUCCUUUCAUGCCAGUUAAUCCCUCAUCGUACAUCACAUCUGAGUUUCAGCAUCAUUUUCUCAUGAAGACUUCUCUUACCUCCCCGACUAGUUCCAAUCCUCCUAUUACACAUUCUUAUUGCAUUAUAUACUCUCAAUGACUGCUUCCCAGUUACAAUUUUACAUUUAUUUACAUGCUUAUUAUAUUAACAGCCGCCUUCCAUGUCAGACUCUGAGUGCCACAAGGAAUGGGACCAUGUCUGUUUUAUUACUGUUUCAAGCCCAGUGUCCAGUUUAUGGCCUGACUCAUAGUAUGUGCUAAAUAAAUAUUAGUUGGGGGACUAAAUAAAUAGUAGUUCAGCCACUCCUCAAUUACAAAGCCUUUUGUCUGCAGGAUGAGACCAAUAUGAGCUUUUCUGGAACCAUGGGAGACGGGUUGAGGAUGGGGCAGACUAAGGAAUUUGCAAUCCAUGAGGCAUUGGGGCAGGUCAAAGCAUCAGGAAAUUGUAUUCCUUGACACUCUCUUACCCCUUCCUACUCACUCCUUUAUCCUAUAUCAUCCUAUGUUACAAGCCCCUUGAGGGUAGGCAUAGAACCUUUAAUUUUUGUAUCACUAACACCUAGCUCAGGGCCUGGUAUACAGCAGGUGCUCAACAAAGCUGCAUUGAAUGAAUGGACGUAUGCAACGUGGAUUUAAUGCAGAUCUUACUGUCCGAGCUCAGGUUCAUUCAGGAGGAAUUCAGGAAGGGAAGCAAAGGUUUGAGAUGGUUAUUUAUCAGCAGAACAUGCUGCAUGGGAGUUUUUCAUAAAAUGUAUGAUAGAACCUGAAUGGUUUUUUUUAAGCUAACAUUUAUUGAGAACAUACUUUUUGCCAGGCUCUGUGAGAAAUGCUUUCUAUGCAUUACCUUGUAUAAAACCAAGAAUUUAAUUUGUGGAUGCUGCUUAAUUUGUAGAUGAGGAAACUGAGACUUGGAGACAAGUAAUCAGCCUAAGGUCAGAGAGGAACCAGAAAAGCUAGUAUUCAAACUUGGGUCUGACUUCCAAAUUCACGAGCUUAGCCAGUUAGGACUUCUUCAUUAACUCUGGGUCCAUAAGAGAGUCAGUAGAUACCUUUUGCCUUCGUGCCCUCACCUGUUAGAUGGAAGAGUCCAUCCCUGCUCACAGCUCAAGGUUGAGAGAGCAGAUGUAUGCGUGUGGAAGGCAUCAGGAAUGAUCCAGCCAGAAGGGGCACCAUGAUUCAUUCAUUGAGCUCGGGCUCCGCAAAACCCUGAGAGGGCCUGUUAUCACACGACCUCCCAUUUCUCAAGCCUCUGAUGAUAGCAAGACAGCAGCCUGCAUACAAGGUGGCCUUGAACUGCUACCUGCUUUCCAAUUCCCCCUGGAAGGGCCCCUUAUACCUUAGCAGCUAAGUCGGGAAGACGUAUUUUACUCUGGUUUCCACUAAUUUGUUCUGCUCUGUGAACUUCAGUGUCUGCUUGUCCAAUUUCACGAAAAUUGGAUUAAUGAGUGUUAAUUGGUGCUGACUCAGCUAGUUUAAAGGGGAUCGCUUCAAAUGGAAGAGGAGUGUACUGGUGUGAUGGGUGGGUACGGAGGCUUCUGGGAAUCGGACUUCUGCAUGGACGCCGAUAUCACAGGUUGCUUGUGGCACCUUCUUCCAAGCUACUCUUGUGUAAGACGAUAUUACCUCUAUGGAUCUUUGAAAGGAGGAGGAACACUUCUCCCAUUGGAACAAGGAGAAGAUUUGCUUCAGAUGCUGGUAAGCUUGAGGAUUUGGCCAGGAUGUUCAUUUGUUCAUUCAUUCAUUCAUUCAUUCAUAGAAUCUUUUUCAAGCACCUGCUCUAUCAGGCUCUAUUUUGGGCUCCGGAGAACCAGUGAUGAAUGAAACAAAGUUUCUGUCUUCAUGAAGCUAACAGUUUAGCUGAGGUGGGUAAAUAACAAUCCAAUAAAUAUAUGAUAUAAUGUCAAGCAGCAUUUCCAUCCAAUGCAUCUAUAUUCUCUAUUAAGGGUGAGAAAAGGUCAUCUUUUUUAAAAACAGCUUUACUGAAAUAUAAUUCACAUACCAUAGAAUUCACCCAUUUAAAGCAUAUAGUUCAAUGCUUUUUAGUAUGUUCAUAGAUAUGUAUAGUCAUUACCACAGUCGAUUUUAGAACAUUUUUAUCACAUGAAAAAGAAACUCUAUACUCUUUAGCAGUCACCAUCUUAUACCCCAACCCCCAACUCCAGCCACAGGCAACCACUAAUCUGCUUUCUGACUCUAUAGAUUCGCCUGUCCUGGACAGAGAAAGGGUCAUCUUUUGGGAAUGAGGGUGCAUGGAAAGAGCCAUUAUUGUCCUCACCUCCCAAAUGAGGCCUCUUGGACUCAGUUUCCCUUGGAGUUCCCUCCAGGAUCCAAAUUUUCAUUGCUUUACAAGCUUGGUUUCUGGUGGUGGCAGGGGCUGCUGGCCAGGGUCCUGACAUAGAGUCACUCUUAGGAUCUUACCUUCCACCUCUCAGCCCUCCCUGAGGUCCCAUGCUCCCAGCCAGCCAGCCAAUACCGAGCAUAAAUAAGUUUGUGUGCACACAGAAGAGACUCCAGUCUCCUGUUCAGUCACGUCUCCAAGCAGUAAUAGGCAUGUCAUGUUCACAGAGGCCCUGUCUUAGUCCAAGUUGUCAUAAUUUCUCCCCUGGAUUGCUGCAGUGGUCUGCUCUCUGGUCCCCUCAUCUCGCAUCUUGCCUCCUUUCCAACCUGUUCUUCCCAAGAUACCAGGAUAAACGUUAUAAAGCAUGAAUCUAAAACACAUCCUUCUUGUGCUGAGGAAAAUCCCGCAUGGUCCUCAGGAAAGUUGAGUUUCCUCUUCACGGCCCACGAGGCCCUUCAUAGCCUGCCCCGGACAGCCUCUCCAGGUCAUCAUUCACCAUUCCCCCUUAACUGUCUGAAUCACUUGUAGUUCCUGCAAAGUACCACACACUCCCUGGGAGGCCUUUGCACGUGCUGUGGCCCCUCUGGAACCCUCUCGCCUGCCUGUAUUGCCUGGCUAACUCCCACUCAUCUUUCAGGUCUUAGCUUAGAGAUUACUUCCUUUUGAGGCCUUCCCUAUUUCUUCAUGAUGUUCCUGUAUUAGUUUUCUAUUGCUGCUUAACAAAUCACCCCAAAACUUAGCACUUUAUAGCAACAAACACUUAUGAUCUCACAUUUUCUGUGGGUCAGGAAUUCAGGAGUCGGUGGUUCUGGAUCAGGGUCUCUCCUGAGUUGUAGUCAUGAUGUUGGCUGGGGCUGCAGUCAUCUGAAAGCUUGACUGGGGCAGGAGGACCUUCUUUCAAGAUGGCUCCUUCACAUGGCUGUCGGGAGGAGGCCUCACUUCUUCCCCCUGUGGGCUGCUUCAUAGACUGUUGAAUGUCCUUACAACUUGGCAGCCGGCUUCCCCCAGAGUGAGGGAUCCGAGAGAUCAGAGAGGAGCCUCCAAUGCCUUUUAUGUCUGCAACAGACUGAAUGUCUGUGUACCCCCAAAUUCAUAUGGUGAAAUCCUAAUGUGAUUGCAUGAGGAAGAUGGGCCUUUAGGAGGUGAUUAGGUCAUGAGGGUGGAGCCCUCACGAGUGGGAUUACUGCCUUUAUAAAAGGGGCCCCAGAGAGCUCUCUGUCUCUCUUUCUGCCAUGGGAAGACAGAGUGAGAAGACGGCGGUCUGCAACCUGGAAGAGAGACAUUACCAAAACCUGAGCUGCUGGCACCCUGAUCUUGGACUUCCAGCCUCUAGAACUGUG
This 4518-nucleotide long non-coding RNA is filed under the name Equus asinus (donkey). RNAcentral describes it as "lncRNA (ENSEASG00005038177.1)". The record is from RNAcentral. Lineage: Eukaryota; Metazoa; Chordata; Mammalia; Perissodactyla; Equidae.